This 662-nucleotide ribosomal RNA is filed under the name Trichoderma cerebriforme. RNAcentral's name for it is "eukaryotic LSU rRNA". The stretch from base 280 to 433 matches the Rfam family "5.8S ribosomal RNA". Lineage: Eukaryota; Fungi; Ascomycota; Sordariomycetes; Hypocreales; Hypocreaceae. The record is from RNAcentral.
UGGAAGUAAAAGUCGUAACAAGGUCUCCGUUGGUGAACCAGCGGAGGGAUCAUUACCGAGUUUACAACUCCCAAACCCCAAUGUGAACGUUACCAAUCUGUUGCCUCGGCGGGAUUCUCUUGCCCCGGGCGCGUCGCAGCCCCGGAUCCCAUGGCGCCCGCCGGAGGACCAACUCCAAACUCUUUUUUUCUCUCCGUCGCGGCUCCCGUCGCGGCUCUGUUUUAUUUUUGCUCUGAGCCUUUCUCGGCGACCCUAGCGGGCGUCUCGAAAAUGAAUCAAAACUUUCAACAACGGAUCUCUUGGUUCUGGCAUCGAUGAAGAACGCAGCGAAAUGCGAUAAGUAAUGUGAAUUGCAGAAUUCAGUGAAUCAUCGAAUCUUUGAACGCACAUUGCGCCCGCCAGUAUUCUGGCGGGCAUGCCUGUCCGAGCGUCAUUUCAACCCUCGAACCCCUCCGGGGGGUCGGCGUUGGGGAUCGGCCCCUCACCGGGCCGCCCCCGAAAUACAGUGGCGGUCUCGCCGCAGCCUCUCCUGCGCAGUAGUUUGCACACUCGCACCGGGAGCGCGGCGCGGCCACAGCCGUAAAACACCCCAAACUUCUGAAAUGUUGACCUCGGAUCAGGUAGGAAUACCCGCUGAACUUAAGCAUAUCAAUAGCGGAGGA